GUGACGAUACCCAGGGCGCCGACUGCGUGAGGACGGUUUCUGGUCGCUGA
Molecule: small nucleolar RNA, 50 nt
Filed under: Pyrobaculum arsenaticum DSM 13514
Lineage: Archaea; Thermoproteati; Thermoproteota; Thermoprotei; Thermoproteales; Thermoproteaceae
Also listed under: 1 other name
Description: PARsR22
Source: RNAcentral